ACUGGUUUCGACGGGGAUAAUAGAGGUGCGAGAAGCGAGCUGCGGACUCCGGGGCCGCAUCAACAACCUGGAACUUAAAUUAAACGCAAACAACGAUAAUUACGCUUUAGCUGCUGCUUAAAGCAGCUACGUCUUACCUGUAGAGCCCGCGCUAUAGGAAAAGGCGACAAUUUAGCGGGGAACGAACCUAACAAAGCUUUGAGUUAGGCCGGAAUUUAUGAAGCUACUGAAGCCGGAAUCCUGUCAGUGGGAGUCCGGUGGAGGGAAUGUCAAUACACUGACUGCGCUCGGAGAUGCUUUCGCCGAUAUAUCUUCGGACAGGGGUUCGAUUCA
Molecule: transfer-messenger RNA, 333 nt
Filed under: Clostridiales bacterium
Lineage: Bacteria; Bacillati; Bacillota; Clostridia; Eubacteriales
Rfam family: transfer-messenger RNA
About the family: Bacterial tmRNA, also known as 10Sa RNA or SsrA, is named for its dual tRNA and mRNA-like properties. Its role is to liberate the mRNA from a stalled ribosome.
Source: RNAcentral